Athene cunicularia (burrowing owl) is the source of this 936-nucleotide long non-coding RNA. RefSeq lists it as uncharacterized. Lineage: Eukaryota; Metazoa; Chordata; Aves; Strigiformes; Strigidae. The record is from RefSeq and is a predicted model, not a curated record. The transcript is spliced from 2 exons.
CCCCACAGCCCACCCCAAGCAGGCUAGUGCUGCAUGUUUGGCAGGGCUGUGGCUGCAGGUGCCAGGAGCAGGUGGCGUUGGGGUCCAGUCCCAUCCAGCCCAGGGCUGCUGGUCAUUGGUCUGUGCCACUGCUGCUGCUGCACAGGGUGGGUGGGUUUUCAGCCAGACCUGGCUCUUGUCUCCUCUCCCGGGGUGAAAUGGGAGGUUUCUGGUGUCCCAUCACUGUUUCUCCUUCCCCUCCCAUUGCGUGUGCGCGGCCCCAGGGAGCCGCUGCUGAAAGGGCUGGUGAGGGGCUGGGAAGAGCUUCGCCCGUGCCCGGGAGGCAGCAGGGUUUGCAAGGGAGCAGCUCUGGGGGCUCUUUGGGUCGUGCCAUGCUGCAGGGAGCUCUGACUGCCCCAUGUCUCCACGUCUCUCCCUGUGCCAGGACAGACGGACAGAGGGGCCACAGCCACACCAGGAGCCACCUGUGCCAGACAGACCUAUGUGGGGUGCAGAGCCCCAGGAAAAAAGCUGGGCUGCCUGCACCGAGGGUGAUGGCUGCUGCUUGCCCUGGGGGACAGCCCUGCUUGUGCCCACCUGCUCUGCCCACCUGGAAACACUGCAGUGACUUUGCAGCUCCAGCUCAGUUGUGGCUUCAGGUCCAGCUCCUGCUUGUUCUUGCUUCAAGAACAUUUUAGGCUCCAGCUGGGUUUCAGCUUUUCUGGCUUCAUUUUGGCUGCAGGUUAUUUGCAGGUCCAGUUCAUCGGUGGCUGCAGCUGCUGUUCAUUUCGUCUCCAUCUCGUUACAGCUUGUGCUUGUUCAAAUGGUCUUGGCUUUUGACAGGGUUGUAGAUUGAUCAUUGUCACAGCUUGAAUAUGAAUUGUACAUUGUCUGAAUAUGAACUAAUGAGUUAAUGACUAUUCCAGCUGUUGUACACACUGGGAAUAAAGAUGGUCU